GGGUGGACUGGGGGAUCUCGGAGGUCUCUUCCAACCUUAAUGACACUGUAGUUCAGUUUAGGGUCAUGGUGGGAAUGGGUUGGGGUUGGACUGGGGGAGACCUUGGAGGUCUUCUCCAAUCUUGGUGAUUCUACAAUUCUAUGACCACAGGAGCCCAAGCUGCCUCCUCAUGUUCUGCCCACCCCACGGACAGGGGAUGAGCAGGGCAAUCCCUGCAGCACGUUGGGAUA
This 230-nucleotide long non-coding RNA is filed under the name Gallus gallus (chicken). Lineage: Eukaryota; Metazoa; Chordata; Aves; Galliformes; Phasianidae. The record is from RNAcentral.